This 164-nucleotide non-coding RNA is filed under the name human gut metagenome. RNAcentral describes it as "Lysine riboswitch". It matches the Rfam family "Lysine riboswitch aptamer". From Rfam's summary of the family: Riboswitches are metabolite binding domains within certain messenger RNAs that serve as precision sensors for their corresponding targets. The record is from RNAcentral.
AUAGAGGAGCGUUCGAUGAAGAGUACGCUGGGGGAGGCGCCGCACCGAGGAGCCCGGCUGAAAGGAAUCAACGCCGAAGGAGGCCGUCCCGCGGCGGGGCCGCCUCCUGGCCGCAGGGCGAAGAGCUCUUCGGCUGUCAUCAUGGUUAUGAUGGAGCGCUAUUC